GCAGUCGAACGGCAGCACGGACUUCGGUCUGGUGGCGAGUGGCGAACGGGUGAGUAAUAUAUCGGAACGUAUCCAAUAAUGGGGGAUAACUAAUCGAAAGGUUGGCUAAUACCGCAUACGCCCUACGGGGGAAAGCUAGGGACCUUCGGGCCUGGCGUUAAUGGAGCGGCUGAUAUCUGAUUAGCUAGUAGGUGAGGUAAAAGCUCACCUAGGCGACGAUCAGUAGCUGGUCUGAGAGGACGACCAGCCACACUGGAACUGAGACACGGUCCAGACUCCUACGGGAGGCAGCAGUGGGGAAUUUUGGACAAUGGGCGCAAGCCUGAUCCAGCCAUUCCGCGUGAGUGAAGAAGGCCUUCGGGUUGUAAAGCUCUUUCGCAAGGGAAGAAAACUUAGUCUCUAACAUAGGCUGAGGUUGACGGUACCUUGAUAAGAAGCACCGGCUAACUACGUGCCAGCAGCCGCGGUAAUACGUAGGGUGCGAGCGUUAAUCGGAAUUACUGGGCGUAAAGCGUGCGCAGGCGGUUUUGUAAGUCAGAUGUGAAAUCCCCGAGCUCAACUUGGGAACUGCGUUUGAAACUACAAGACUAGAAUAUGUCAGAGGGGGGUAGAAUUCCACGUGUAGCAGUGAAAUGCGUAGAGAUGUGGAGGAAUACCAAUGGCGAAGGCAGCCCCCUGGGAUAAUAUUGACGCUCAUGCACGAAAGCGUGGGGAGCAAACAGGAUUAGAUACCCUGGUAGUCCACGCCCUAAACGAUGUCUACUAGUUGUUGGUGGAGUAAAAUCCAUGAGUAACGCAGCUAACGCGUGA
Molecule: ribosomal RNA, 810 nt
Filed under: bacterium SCGC AAA018-F2
Lineage: Bacteria
Description: SSU rRNA
Rfam family: Bacterial small subunit ribosomal RNA
Source: RNAcentral